CGCAGCCGCGGUAAUUCCAGCUCCAAUAGCGUAUAUUAAAGUUGCUGCAGUUAAAAAGCUCGUAGUUGAAUUUCGGGAUCAAUUUGCUGGUCGUGCUGUGGUACGUACUGGUUUUGUUGAUUCCUCCUUUCCGAGGAACCGCGAUGUCAUUAAUUUGGUGUCGUGGGGAAUCAGGACUGUUACUUUGAAAAAAUUAGAGUGUUUAAAGCAGGCUAACGCUUGAAUACAUUAGCAUGGAAUAAUGAAAUAGGACGUUUUGAUCCUAUUUUGUUGGUUUCUAGGAUCGACGUAAUGAUUAAUAGGGAUAGUUGGGGGCAUUAGUAUUCAAUUGUCAGAGGUGAAAUUCUUGGAUUUAUUGAAGACUAACUACUGCGAAAGCAUUUGCCAA
RNAcentral lists this ribosomal RNA (388 nucleotides) under uncultured Glomeromycotina. RNAcentral's name for it is "SSU rRNA". It matches the Rfam family "Eukaryotic small subunit ribosomal RNA", at positions 569 to 961 of the family's 1831-position model. Lineage: Eukaryota; Fungi; Glomeromycota. The record is from RNAcentral.